GCUGUGCCAAUUGUCACGUACGCGAGUUCGGAAUCAAUCAAUCAUUAUCUCGAUUAUUAAUUCUCCGUAUCAAAACAUAAUUUGAUACGCCAAAGAUUGGUGACGCAAGACCAAGGAGAUUACUUUAGAGAUGUAAACCUUAUUCUUUAGCGACGUCGGGAGACGAUUCAGGCCUUGUAAGAAAUGCCUGUAGACGGUAAGCAAUGGGUUCUGAAAUAUUAGAACAAGAAUGUCUGAUGAGUAAGCUCUCUCUCUAUUAUACGAAUUCUUGUAAACGUAUGCGUUAUGAAGAACAGUCUAUGAUGAUUAAUGACUGAGGCAUUGAUUUAUUACUGAUGACGGAGCGUCCAAUAAAACCGACAUCCCAACAAAAAAUUGCCUUGAAGCAUUCACCCUUAUGAUAUGACCAUAGCGUGUCAUCUGAUUUGUAAGCCCUGAUAUACCAACCUCCUAUUUCCAUUCGACAGAAUUAAUAGUAUCAGGUUAAUUUUAAUUAGUGGUAAUCUAUUAUUAAUUAUCAGUCCUCAUUUCCGUUAAAAUGUUAUAUUAUGAAUCCCACAUUUAUAACGUGAACUGUAAUGUUUAAUAUGCGGUGUUAUUAUUUAUCAGUUCCAUUUAUGACUAUAAGCAUAGCUAGCCUUUAUUAAGCUUUAUUGAAACUAAAUUUUAUUGGAGCCAUUGAUAGGUAAGUAUUUUAUACAAAAUGGAGCGUAAAUUAAAAGUUAUACUAAAAUAUAUUUUACUAAAAACCCAUCUGUAGUUAAAAAGUCGUCGGUCAGCCCAGAUUUCAGGAAAAAUAUAAUACCAAAUAAAAUUCCUGAGCAAAUAUUUCAUUUAAUUAACUGAGAACGAACUAUCAAGACUCAUUGAAAGCGAUAGGCCACUAAAUAAUAAUGUUCAGUCGUCAGUGAAACGGCAAUCCGUUAAAAGUUGUUUGGAGUUUUUCAUAGCCCGUUUGUUUUGAAAUUUCCUCAAAGCAGAAAAUGCUAUUUACUUAUUGCGCCUCGUUUACUUACAAGGUAUUUAGGUUUGUGUCGUCUGUUCUCAGUUUUGUAUUUGGAAAAUGGAAUUUUCCUGUUGGGAUAUAGAAGGGGCGGAAUUCCCAAUCGAUUUUCAAAAAGGACGUUUUGUAAUAGCUAUUUCGUUUUUGUUUACAGUUUGUUCUUAUUGUGGUUUCCGUCUGAUUCAUUUGUUUUUGUUCUGUGGUUACAAAACUGUUUUAAGUCUACCUGAAAUCAUCCUGUUUUAAGUCUACAUGAAAUCUCUCUACCUGAAAUCAUUAUUGUUAUGAUUCACAUUGUAAUUAAACCGAUAGGUACUGUCACUGGGUUCUGUUGUACCUAAACGAUAUGUAAAUACCUGAAUUAGGCACAAUAUUUACACAAGUUAUCGCUUGUAGUUGAUAAGGACAUCAAUAAGUCCGCGUGAUGGGCCAGAUAAGGCUGUGCCUAUAAAUUCAUCGAUCGAUCUCUAAGUAUGGAACAAACGUUUUUGCUUCAAGCAGGGCCAAUUGAAUAUUUUGUGAAUUUUGGAACUAUACACAUAAUAAUGCCACCACCACCACCGCAUCCGGACCAGCCACCGCAUCACCCAGGCGGUCAUCCACCGGGGCACGAUCCACAUCAUCCACCGCAUCAACCCCCGCAUCAUCCACCACACCAUCCACCGCAUCACCCACCACCACAUCACCAGCCCCCACCACCUCGGUAUUAGAUGCUGGGGGUGAGAGUGUGAUGACGUAAUAUUAUGUACUGACACUGUUACUUACGGCAGUAUUAAUUGUGUAACUUAUAUUAUUUAAUAAAUAUGUAUGUUUUUUAAGCAA
Helicoverpa armigera (cotton bollworm) is the source of this 1825-nucleotide long non-coding RNA. RefSeq lists it as uncharacterized. NCBI's taxonomy places the organism in Eukaryota, Metazoa, Arthropoda, Insecta, Lepidoptera, Noctuidae. The transcript is spliced from 2 exons. The record is from RefSeq and is a predicted model, not a curated record.